RNAcentral lists this ribosomal RNA (462 nucleotides) under uncultured bacterium. RNAcentral describes it as "partial 16S ribosomal RNA". It matches the Rfam family "Bacterial small subunit ribosomal RNA", at positions 338 to 795 of the family's 1533-position model. The record is from RNAcentral.
CCUACGUGGGGCAGCAGUGAGGAAUAUUGGUCAAUGGACGCAAGUCUGAACCAGCCAAGUAGCGUGCAGGAUGACGGCCCUCCGGGUUGUAAACUGCUUUUAGUUGGGAAUAAAAGGGGGCUCGUGAGCCCCGUAUUGUAUGUACCAUCAGAAAAAGGACCGGCUAAUUCCGUGCCAGCAGCCGCGGUAAUACGGAAGGUCCGGGCGUUAUCCGGUUUUAUUGGGUUUAAAGGGAUCGUAGGCCGGCGUUUAAGUCAGCUGGGAAAGUACGCGUCUCAACCGUGGAAUUGAAGUUGAAACGAGAGGCCUUGAGUGGACACAAGGAUGCCGGAAUUCAUGGUGUAGCGGUGAAAUGCUUAGAUAUCAUGAAGAACUCCGAUCGCGAAGGCAAGUGUCCGGGGUGCAACUGACGCUGAGGCUCGAAAGUGCGGGUAUCAAACAGGAUUAGAUACCCCAGUAGUC